This 439-nucleotide long non-coding RNA is filed under the name Cricetulus griseus (Chinese hamster). RNAcentral's name for it is "lncRNA (ENSCGRG00015033639.1)". Lineage: Eukaryota; Metazoa; Chordata; Mammalia; Rodentia; Cricetidae. The record is from RNAcentral.
GAAAGAGAUGGAGUAAGUUGGCCACGUCUCAUAAAAGAUGCAUAGUGAUCUGGGUUGCCUCAUUCCAGGGCCCAUGCUCUCAGCUGUUCUGCCACAGUGUCUGGCCCAGGAGAGCAGUUCACUGGCACAGCUGUCCCUGUAUGCGUUAGCCUUGUCCAUGGCUGGCUACUGCUGCUAUUCCUGGCCUUUGACUGCAGCCUCAAAAUUAUGCCCCGUUUCCAGGCUGGAGAGAUGGCUGUGGUUAUUAAGAACACCUUGCAGAGGACCAAGUUCAGUUCCUGACACCAAUGUCUGGCAAUUCACAACCACAAGGAACUCCAGCUCCAGGGAAACUGGUCUUCAUGGGAAUUUGCACUCACAGGCAUAUACCUGCCCUACACACAUGAACACAACUGACAACAGGGACCAACAUCCACUGACUUCUGGCUGCUGCGUUUCU